GCAAACUUGGUCAUUUAGAGGAAGUAAAAGUCGUAACAAGGUUUCCGUAGGUGAACCUGCGGAAGGAUCAUUACCAAUCUUUAGCGGGCCUUGGCUUGUCCAUGGUCUCGCAAAACUCUGUAUUUAAAACCCGCUCUUUUAAAUUUUGAAUCAUAUGUUAUCAUAUUAUAAUUAAGAUCACUUUCAACAACGGAUCUCUUGGCUCUCAGAGACAGGCAAACUUGGUCAUUUAGAGGAAGUAAAAGUCGUAACAAGGUUUCCGUAGGUGAACCUGCGGAAGGAUCAUUACCAAUCUUUAGCGGGCCUUGGCUUGUCCAUGGUCUCGCAAAACUCUGUAUUUAAAACCCGCUCUUUUAAAUUUUGAAUCAUAUGUUAUCAUAUUAUAAUUAAGAUCACUUUCAACAACGGAUCUCUUGGCUCUCGCAUCGAUGAAGAACGCAGC
Molecule: unclassified non-coding RNA, 442 nt
Filed under: uncultured fungus
Lineage: Eukaryota; Fungi
Description: partial contains small subunit ribosomal RNA, internal transcribed spacer 1, and 5.8S ribosomal RNA
Rfam family: Eukaryotic small subunit ribosomal RNA (bases 1-73)
Source: RNAcentral